CGGACUCGUGUCUGAUUCGCAUAUGCGGACGCGACAAACCAAACCGGCGCGCGCCGCCUAGAGACCAAUGUCUGCACCCGCAGACGUGGACGCGCCUACUAGCGUGUACGCGCAUGAGCCAAGAUGUCUGGACUUUCUUUGCUGGAACACGAACGUAAGUAUAGAUUUAUUGAUUUAUUGCUACAUUCGCAGUAAAGAUCAGCCUUUGUGUUUCCAUCAUCAUUUAUGUAUGAUUGUAAUGACGUUGUUUGAUAUUAGGACUAGCAGUAAAACUUUAUAUUCUGUAAAAAAAGGCUAUUUUAUUUCCAGCGCCGCCUCCCAGAAUGCUUUGCAUGGGGACGUGCGUCUGACGUCACGUAUACAGACAAUUCAAAAUGGCUGCACGCGCUAGGUGAGGCCAGAGCGAAGAAAAGUGGAAAAGAGUGUUAUUCGUCAAAAAACCCACACAACGACGGUCAUUUUUUCGCCGUGCUAUUGUAAAAUUGUCUUUUAUCUGUGUUUUGUGUUCCGGGGGACCCCGACUCCAGAAUGUGAAAGUUUCCCGCGUGAAGCCGCUCCACCGUCUUGCCGAGUGCCAGCAAGAGUCAUGAGUACUUGUCAACUCGACUCCUCAACUGGAGAUAACUUUCUAGCACCUCACCAUGGGGAAGGAUGUAUUCAUAUGCCUUCACCAGCACAUGCAUUAAACAUGCAGAGAGUUACACAAGUUCUUACCACCUUGGGGCACCAUUCAGGUAAAAUCUCAGCUCAUCUUACUUGCUUAUUUGUAUACACUAACACCUGUGCAUGCUUUUGUCCAUGUUGUUCCUUUGACGAUGAAUAAAUACCCCUUUUCUUUCUUUCUACAUUAAGGGUGCCUUUUCAUCUGAUUAAAUUUAUAAUGAACAGGGACAUUGCGGUUGUCCCAAGUGGAUGGUAUGAUGAUAGGAUGGUUUUCUGGCCCAGCUAUAAAAACACCGACAGAAUUGAAAGGGCCGAUUUAAAUGAGGAGCAGCAUGAGCCAAACUGGCCAAGAUUUGACGUUUCUGUUGUCCGAACUUGUGACAACUACAAAGACGCAUUCAAAAUAAUGCAACAAUAUGGAAAGGGCUGCGACACCUCAGACCUGCAAUCUGAGGCAGAGAACGAGGAGCUGCCAGAAAAAAGGAACAGGAAGCCAGUCCAUCGUCUCGGGGACUCAGAUGAUAGCGAAGAAGACCCGGGAAAUAGUGACCUCACAUCUCUGGGGUUGGCAAGCCAAUUUCACAGGCAGAUUAAGGAAUAAUCUCUUAACAUCGAAAACAACAAAACCACCACAUUAAUAUUAAAGGUAUGGUUAACAUUCUUAGUGCUAAAGAUAUUCCCCUCUCCUUGUAUCCCUUCUCCCAGCUCCACCGUCUCGCCGAGUGCCAGCAAGAGUCAUGAGUACUGGUCAACUCGACUCCUCAACUGGAGAUAACUUUCUAGCACCUCACCAUGGGGAAGGACGCAUUCAUAUGCCUUCACCAGCACCUGCAUUAAACAUGCAGAGAGUUACACAAGGAACGGCAGUCCCUCCUCGACUCCCUCCACCCCCCUCACCAGCAGCCCUCAACAUGUGGCAGACAGAGGAGCCUGGAUCCAGCCUGGCCUACAGGCCAACAUGGCGAGGGGAGAGAAUGGCCGACAACAUUUCCUGCUCUGCGCCUGAGGUAAUCCACAUCCUUAGCCUGCUGGAAACUAUUAAGCACAACCAAGACCAGCUGAUUGCGAAGGUGCUGUGAGUAAAAAUGUGUUGACAAGGUCAGCCACGGACGCUGAGGUCACCAAACACGCCAUCAGGUGGUUCAACUUGGCGGGGGAUCGGGCAACGAGGAGACGAGUCCCGCUUCCACCUCCUCAGGAGGAAUAGAGAUGUAUAUGUAUAAAUAAACAACCUUUUAUUGGACUUCUUGUCAUUCACCAGUUAUUCAUUUUCUGAUAUGUUAGCUGUGCAUGGAGCAGCGUUUCCUUGAAGUUGUAGCCUAAUAGAUUAAAUAUGUUUAUUUACUUUUUAAAUAUAUAUUAUAUAUAUUUACUUUAUAGAGUGAAUUGACCAUUUUCUGUUUCUGCCUAUUGACAAUAUUGUUAGUUUAAAAAUACAAGGCAAUGCAUAUGUAAGCCUAUAUUGCUGUAGUAGGGCUUAGUGAAUUUUUUAGUUUCCUAUUUUAUCCUACAGCAAGAACAGAAGGGAUUUUGAAAAUAAGAUAAAGGGGUCCAAAACGGCCA
Entelurus aequoreus (snake pipefish) is the source of this 2226-nucleotide long non-coding RNA. RefSeq lists it as uncharacterized. NCBI's taxonomy places the organism in Eukaryota, Metazoa, Chordata, Actinopteri, Syngnathiformes, Syngnathidae. The record is from RefSeq and is a predicted model, not a curated record. The transcript has 10 exons.